GUGCCAGCCGCCGCGGUAAUACGUAGGGUGCGAGCGUUGUCCGGAAUUAUUGGGCGUAAAGAGCUCGUAGGCGGUCUGUCGCGUCUGCUGUGAAAACCCGAGGCUCAACCUCGGGCCUGCAGUGGGUACGGGCAGACUAGAGUGCGGUAGGGGAGAAUGGAAUUCCUGGUGUAGCGGUGGAAUGCGCAGAUAUCAGGAGGAACACCGAUGGCGAAGGCAGUUCUCUGGGCCGUAACUGACGCUGAGGAGCGAAAGCGUGGGGAGCGAACAGGAUUAGAUACCCUGGUAGUCCACGCCGUAAACGUUGGGCGCUAGAUGUAGGGACCAUUCCACGGUUUCCGUGUCGCAGUUAACGCAUUAAGCGCCCCGCCUGGGGAGUACGGCCGCAAGGCUAAAACUCAAAGGAAUUGACGGGGGCCCGCACAAGCGGCGGAGCAUGCGGAUUAAUUCGAUGCAACGCGAAGAACCUUACCAAGGCUUGACAUAUACGAGAACGGGCUAGAAAUAGUCAACUCUUUGGACACUCGUAAACAGGUGGUGCAUGGUUGUCGUCAGCUCGUGUCGUGAGAUGUUGGGUUAAGUCCCGCAACGAGCGCAACCCUCGUUCUAUGUUGCCAGCACGUAAUGGUGGGAACUCAUAGGAGACUGCCGGGGUCAACUCGGAGGAAGGUGGGGAUGACGUCAAAUCAUCAUGCCCCUUAUGUCUUGGGCUUCACGCAUGCUACAAUGGCCGGUACAAAGGGCUGCAAUACCGCAAGGUGGAGCGAAUCCCAAAAAGCCGGUCUCAGUUCGGAUUGAGGUCUGCAACUCGACCUCAUGAAGUCGGAGUCGCUAGUAAUCGCAGAUCAGCAACGCUGCGGUGAAUACGUUCCCGGGCCUUGCACACACCGCCCGUC
RNAcentral lists this ribosomal RNA (896 nucleotides) under uncultured prokaryote. RNAcentral's name for it is "bacterial SSU rRNA". It matches the Rfam family "Bacterial small subunit ribosomal RNA", at positions 505 to 1398 of the family's 1533-position model. The record is from RNAcentral.